This 253-nucleotide ribosomal RNA is filed under the name uncultured bacterium. Its description in RNAcentral is "partial 16S ribosomal RNA". It matches the Rfam family "Bacterial small subunit ribosomal RNA", at positions 524 to 776 of the family's 1533-position model. The record is from RNAcentral.
UACAGGGGGUGCAAGCGUUACUCGGAUUUACUGGGCGUAAAGAGCGUGUAGGUGGUUUGUUAAGUCUGGUGUGAAAUCCCUGGGCUCAAUCCAGGAAGUGCAUUGGAUACUGAUAGACUAGAGUGCAGGAGAGGUGAGCGGAAUUCCCGGUGUAGAGGUGAAAUUCGUAGAUGUCGGGAGGAACAACAGAAGCGAAGGCGGCUCACUGGACUGUUACUGACACUAAGGCGCGAAAGCGUGGGGAGCAAACAGG